GAGUGUCCUGCUGGGACCUCGGUCGGACUCAAGAAGAAAGGCAUCAUCCAGGCCUAGAGUGGCACCUGGAAGCCCUUGGACCGUGGAGUUCAUUAUUUCCCGUCGCUGCGCUCACAGCAGGCUUGGUGGAAAGCAUGCGUAAUGGCUGCAUAAUUAGCGCUCUUCCCUGCCAGACGGGCACAAAGCCGCCGUCACCAUCAGUAACACCGGAACAACCUUUGGCGCCAGGGCCUGGUUCCAGUGCAUCUGUCAGCCCCGAGUCACCAAGCCACGGCUAACGCGGGGUGGACGUCUCUUCUGGCUCUGACGUGAAAUACACAAGACAAGGUAGAGUGCGGAGACGGCGGCCAGAAAGGUUCCCAUGAAGCCCAAAAGGAUCCCAUAGAGAAGAGGGAGUGCCACAUCUAAAGGGCCCUUGGAGGACUCAGGCAUUGGGCGUCGCUCCACAAUAAGAUCGAGGUCACGCUGAGUCAAAUCGGACGCUAACACAUACCGAAAAAACAUCCACAUAUGAAUGGUUAUUUAUUGGUGAGUAAAGUAUAUGUGAUGUAUGUUUCCCAUUUACGGUGAU
Long non-coding RNA from Syngnathus typhle (broad-nosed pipefish), 571 nucleotides. RefSeq lists it as uncharacterized. NCBI's taxonomy places the organism in Eukaryota, Metazoa, Chordata, Actinopteri, Syngnathiformes, Syngnathidae. The transcript is spliced from 3 exons. The record is from RefSeq and is a predicted model, not a curated record.